UACGUAGGGGGCAAGCGUUGUCCGGAAUCAUUGGGCGUAAAGAGCGCGUAGGCGGCCCUGUAAGUCCGCUGUGAAAGUCAAGGGCUCAACCCUUGAAUGCCGGUGGAUACUGCAGGGCUAGAGUCCGGAAGAGGCGAGUGGAAUUCCUGGUGUAGCGGUGAAAUGCGCAGAUAUCAGGAGGAACACCGAUGGCGAAGGCAGGUCUCUGGGCAUUAACUGACGCUGAGGAGCGAAAGCAUGGGGAGCGAACAGG
RNAcentral lists this ribosomal RNA (253 nucleotides) under uncultured bacterium. RNAcentral describes it as "partial 16S ribosomal RNA". It matches the Rfam family "Bacterial small subunit ribosomal RNA", at positions 524 to 776 of the family's 1533-position model. The record is from RNAcentral.